UAUUAAGCUUGCUGGUGGCAUGCAUCUGUAACAAGUAUUUUACUUAGUGUGUAUUGAAGAUUUAUAUUCUUUUAAAAAAUAAUCUUUACCGGCUUCCUGAUUCUUUUUCCUCUCUGGCUUUGGGGUAAGUACGCCGUUUAUUUUCGAUGUGGAUAAUCGGAAAAAAAUAAAAACCGGCAAAAGCAAACGCUAGGAUACCACGAACUACC
Molecule: long non-coding RNA, 209 nt
Filed under: Elaeis guineensis (African oil palm)
Lineage: Eukaryota; Viridiplantae; Streptophyta; Magnoliopsida; Arecales; Arecaceae
Description: long non-coding RNA (EGUI_LNC011273)
Source: RNAcentral